RNAcentral lists this transfer RNA (76 nucleotides) under Bacteroidales bacterium. Its description in RNAcentral is "tRNA-Trp". It matches the Rfam family "tRNA". From Rfam's summary of the family: Transfer RNA (tRNA) molecules are approximately 80 nucleotides in length. Their secondary structure includes four short double-helical elements and three loops (D, anti-codon, and T loops). Further hydrogen bonds mediate the characteristic L-shaped molecular structure. tRNAs have two regions of fundamental functional importance: the anti-codon, which is responsible for specific mRNA codon recognition, and the 3' end, to which the tRNAs corresponding amino acid is attached (by aminoacyl-tRNA synthetases). tRNAs cope with the degeneracy of the genetic code in two manners: having more than one tRNA (with a specific anti-codon) for a particular amino acid; and 'wobble' base-pairing, i.e. permitting non-standard base-pairing at the 3rd anti-codon position. Lineage: Bacteria; Pseudomonadati; Bacteroidota; Bacteroidia; Bacteroidales. The record is from RNAcentral.
AGGAGCAUAGUUCAAUUGGUAGAAUAGUGGUCUCCAAAACCAAAGAUUUAGGGUUCAAGUCCCUUUGUUCCUGCCA